Molecule: unclassified non-coding RNA, 309 nt
Filed under: plant metagenome
Description: partial contains 5.8S ribosomal RNA, internal transcribed spacer 2, and large subunit ribosomal RNA
Rfam family: 5.8S ribosomal RNA (bases 1-105)
Source: RNAcentral
GAAAUGCGAUAAGUAGUGUGAAUUGCAGAAUUCAGUGAAUCAUCGAAUCUUUGAACGCACAUUGCGCCCCUUGGUAUUCCAUGGGGCAUGCCUGUUCGAGCGUCAUUUGUACCCUCAAGCUCUGCUUGGUGUUGGGUGUUUGUCCCGUCUCCGCGCGUGGACUCGCCCCAAAAUGAUUGGCAGCCGGCGUACUGGUCCCGGAGCGCAGCACAUGUCGCGCAAACGAGUGCCUUGGUACGGCGGCGUCCAUAAGCCCCUCUCUCACGCUCUUGACCUCGGAUCAGGUAGGGAUACCCGCUGAACUUAAGC